This 21-nucleotide microRNA is filed under the name Nautilus pompilius. RNAcentral's name for it is "Npo-Mir-1990-P2_3p (mature (guide))". Lineage: Eukaryota; Metazoa; Mollusca; Cephalopoda; Nautilida; Nautilidae. The record is from RNAcentral.
CGGGACUACGUCAACUGCUGG